Molecule: ribosomal RNA, 253 nt
Filed under: uncultured bacterium
Lineage: Bacteria
Description: partial 16S ribosomal RNA
Rfam family: Bacterial small subunit ribosomal RNA
Source: RNAcentral
UACGUAGGGAGCAAGCGUUGUCCGGAAUCACUGGGCGUAAAGCGCACGUAGGCGGAUUGCUAAGUCAGGGGUGAAAUCCUGGAGCUCAACUCCAGAACUGCCUUUGAUACUGGCGAUCUUGAGUCCGGGAGAGGUGAGUGGAACUGCGAGUGUAGAGGUGAAAUUCGUAGAUAUUCGCAAGAACACCAGUGGCGAAGGCGGCUCACUGGCCCGGUACUGACGCUGAGGUGCGAAAGCGUGGGGAGCAAACAGG